Molecule: ribosomal RNA, 465 nt
Filed under: uncultured bacterium
Lineage: Bacteria
Description: partial 16S ribosomal RNA
Rfam family: Bacterial small subunit ribosomal RNA
Source: RNAcentral
GACGAACGCUGGCGGCGUGCUUAACACAUGCGAGUCGUACGGUAAGGUCCUUUCGGGGGUCCACGAGUGGCGACCGGGUGAGUAACACGUGAGUAACCUUCCCACAACUUUGGGAUAACGCUAGGAAACUGGUGCUAAUACUGGAUAUGUGCCCCUGCUGCAUGGUGGGGGUUGGAAAGCUCCGGCGGUUGUGGAUGGACUGGCGGCCUAUCAGCUUGUUGGUGGGGUAGUGGGCUACCAAGGCGGCGAGGGGUAGCCGCCCUGAGAGGGUGACCGGCGACAUUGGGACUGAGAUACGGCCCAGACUCCGACGGGAGGCAGCAGGGGGGAAUAUUGCACAAUGGGCGCAAGCCUGAUGAAGCAACGCCGCGUGCGGGAUGACGGCCUUAGGGUUGAAAACCGCUUGCAGCAGGGACGAAGCUUUUUGUGACGGUACCUGCAGAAGAAGCACCGGCUAACUACGUG